RNAcentral lists this long non-coding RNA (1960 nucleotides) under Homo sapiens (human). RNAcentral's name for it is "HSALNT0281999". Lineage: Eukaryota; Metazoa; Chordata; Mammalia; Primates; Hominidae. The record is from RNAcentral.
GUCAUCAGGAACACCUGAGGCUGUGUCACGGGCACGUGCCCUCAACCUUGGCAAAAUAAACUUUCUAAAUUAACUGAGACCUGUCUCAGAUAUUUGGGGUUCACAUUUUGGUAACCAUGGGGGGAUUCUGAGUGGGGGUGCCCCGACCUUUGACAAAUCUCCUAUCAGUGUUUGGGACCAGCAUGAGCUAACUUUAUGGCUCAAACCAAUAGGACAAUUUGCUGAGGUCUGAGGUCCCCCUCCAGAGAAUCCCAGAUCUCCCAAAAUUUGGUUGAGAUCUAGUUUAUUUUGCUUUACAACUCCCCUUUUCUUGGAGUUUUACUUGCUUCCAACAAGGAAGGCAAAAUUUCCUGCUUCCAUAAUGAUAGAAGGCAGGUAACUCCUUUAUGGAGUUUGAGCUCGCUCCCAGCAGGGAAGACGAGUUUGAGGUUUUGUUCCUGCUUCUAGGAUGGUAGAAAGCAGUCUUCAGCCUGAGACCUGUCCCUAGAUGCUGUAUAGAGAAUGGACCGAAAGGGACCAAGGUAGAUAUGGAGAGAAGACCAGUUAGACGGUGAUUGCAUUAGUUCCAGGUGGAAAACACUAGUGGCUUGGAUCAAGGUUGAGACAGAAAAGAUGGAAAUGGAAGUCAAAUUCCAGAUCUGUUUUGGAAGGAGAAUUGACAGGCUCCCCAGUGAAUUGAGUAUGGGUGAAGAGUCCCAAGUCUGACCUUUCUUGUGAGCUCAAGACAAAGAUACAUCUCAAUGCCACCAAAAUAUCGCUUGUGCCUAGGUGCCAUAAGCCUAUUCAACAGAUCUAGAAUAAAAUCCAUCUUUCCUGUGCCACGCCAUAAUAUGAAUCAUAGUUGAGCUGAAGGCAAUUAAGCAGCAGAUGCAGGAAAGCUCCCUGCUCUCCCUCUAUUUGCUUAAAAUCAGGACAUAAAUUUACAGAGACAAAAGAUAUCCUGUCCUUUCUCUAUCAGAGAAAACAAGACAGUGUAAGCCCUUAUUGGCCUGUAGAUGCUACUAGAGGAAUCUAUAAGCUUUACUAACUAGCCUUUACCUGCCAUUUAUUUGCCUUCCCUCAAGUUUCCACCUCUAGAGAUUCAAAGCCUUUUUCCUUUGUCUUGUCACUUCUCCAAAAGUUGACCAUUCUUUGUUGAAGAUGAUAUAUAAGCUGGAAUUCAAAGCUACCUCUUUGAGAACUACUUAUUCUCCAAGUGUAUGCUUCAUGUAUGAAAUAUACAUGUUAAUAAAUUUGUUUUUCUCUUGUUAAUUUAUCUUUUGGUACAGGGGUCCAUUCCAGCUAAGAACCUAUGAAUGUUGAAAAAAUCAUUUUUAUUUUUCUUACACCUGACAUAACUGCUCUUCCUCCUCUAUUAUCUUAAUGAGAGGCAUUAUCUUUUGCCUGGCUAAAAUAUCACUUCGUGAGGGAAGACUUAUCUGAUUGCCUGUACUAGUUUAGGUCUCCCUGCCAUGUGCUUCUUUAAUUCCUCCCCAGUAAUGGCACUUACGAUAUUUUAUUACAUUUGUUGGGUAUUACAGGUGUAAGCCAUCACACCCGGCCAUUGGUUUAAUUAUCUAUAUCCCCCAUACAAUGUAAGAUUCAUUAGGGCAGGAACUGUUUCUAUUUUUCUUGCAGUUAUAAUCCCAACAACUAGAUAGGAAGCUGACAUAUAGUAGGUGCUCAAUUUAUUAUUUGUUUAAUGAAUGAAUAACAUAUGUUAGAAUUGUAAAUAAAUUCAGGGGAUAGCUUGGGGCACUCCAAUAUGAAUAAAUUACAUGAUAAGCUUUAUUUUAGGUGACUGAAGAGAAGGUGGGGAAAAGGCAUUACCUCUUCCUGCAUAUUGUUAGACAUUUCUUCAGCACUCUUCCUUUUAUACCCAUUCAGGAAAAACAAAAGUUCCAGACCUGAAGUCAAAUGAUUGAUUUCCUGAUUUAAACCAUCAUUCCACACCACAAUAGUUAAGCAUUAAAUAGAUAGC